Molecule: ribosomal RNA, 299 nt
Filed under: Alviniconcha boucheti
Lineage: Eukaryota; Metazoa; Mollusca; Gastropoda; Provannidae
Description: partial 12S ribosomal RNA
Source: RNAcentral
UGGCGGUGCUUUAGACUCUUCAGGGGAACCUGUCUCGUAAUCGAUAGUCCACGAUAUACCUAACCUUUUUUAGACAUCAGUAUGUAUACCGUCGUCGUCAGGUAACUUUUAAAAAUAAAGAAGUUAGCAACAAAAAUUAGAAUAAUUUUGUACGUCAGAUCAAGGUGCAGCUCAUAAAAAGGUGAGGAUGGGUUACAAUUAAGAAUUAUAAUCGGAAAGAGGUUUGGCAUAACCUCUAAUGAAGGAGGACGAAAGUAAAACUAUUAUAUAUAAAUUUUUUGAAUUUAGCUCUGAAGCGU